This 264-nucleotide signal recognition particle RNA is filed under the name Clostridiales bacterium. Its description in RNAcentral is "signal recognition particle sRNA large type". It matches the Rfam family "Bacterial large signal recognition particle RNA". From Rfam's summary of the family: The signal recognition particle (SRP) is a universally conserved ribonucleoprotein involved in the co-translational targeting of proteins to membranes. Lineage: Bacteria; Bacillati; Bacillota; Clostridia; Eubacteriales. The record is from RNAcentral.
CCGCACUAGUCGGGGAGUCAGCGGUGCCCUGUACCUGCAACCCGCUAUAGCAGGGAUGAGUUCCCGCCCUCGGUUUUGCUUUGUGUCGCCGGCCGGUGCAAGUGGUGAUGAGGAACCGGUCUUGCGCAACGGAAACCCGUGAACCAUGUCAGGCGGGAGACCGAGCAGCAUUAAGCGGUGCUUUUCGUGUGCCGCGAGGUAGCCGAUUCUGAGCCGGCUGUAUCGGUAUCGGACAUAAAGCAAUUAUCAAAGGCGGGUGUGCGG